ACGAGUGGCGGACGGGUGAGUAAUGUCUGGGAAACUGCCUGAUGGAGGGGGAUAACUACUGGAAACGGUGGCUAAUACCGCAUAACGUCGCAAGACCAAAGAGGGGGACCUUCGGGCCUCUUGCCAUCAGAUGUGCCCAGAUGGGAUUAGCUUGUUGGUGAGGUAACGGCUCACCAAGGCGACGAUCCCUAGCUGGUCUGAGAGGAUGACCAGCCACACUGGAACUGAGACACGGUCCAGACUCCUACGGGAGGCAGCAGUGGGGAAUAUUGCACAAUGGGCGCAAGCCUGAUGCAGCCAUGCCGCGUGUAUGAAGAAGGCCUUCGGGUUGUAAAGUACUUUCAGCGGGGA
This 351-nucleotide ribosomal RNA is filed under the name Salmonella enterica subsp. diarizonae. RNAcentral describes it as "bacterial SSU rRNA". It matches the Rfam family "Bacterial small subunit ribosomal RNA", at positions 91 to 445 of the family's 1533-position model. Lineage: Bacteria; Pseudomonadati; Pseudomonadota; Gammaproteobacteria; Enterobacterales; Enterobacteriaceae. The record is from RNAcentral.